This 212-nucleotide non-coding RNA is filed under the name Planctomycetaceae bacterium. RNAcentral's name for it is "6S RNA". It matches the Rfam family "6S / SsrS RNA". From Rfam's summary of the family: E. coli 6S RNA was the first non coding RNA to be sequenced, but its function was unknown until recently. It consists of 184 nucleotides that fold into an extended hairpin structure with a large single-stranded internal bulge. The 6S RNA specifically associates with RNA polymerase holoenzyme containing the sigma70 specificity factor. The record is from RNAcentral. Lineage: Bacteria; Pseudomonadati; Planctomycetota; Planctomycetia; Planctomycetales; Planctomycetaceae.
ACGCCUCUGCGGUGUUUGUGAUGGGUUAUGUGAUUUUGGUGAACCUACACUAACUCGCUUUGGGAGCCUUAAUUUUAAUUCGGGUGGCGCACACAAGCCCGUCCGCAUCGCUCGUCGGUGCGACUGUAGCGGGAUCUGUAACCCAUCCGAGAGGCACCCAGUUUUUUAGCGGGUUCCCGAAGGAUGACCCACACGGCACAGGUGGAGGCGUU